Long non-coding RNA from Dryobates pubescens (Downy woodpecker), 703 nucleotides. RefSeq lists it as uncharacterized. Lineage: Eukaryota; Metazoa; Chordata; Aves; Piciformes; Picidae. The record is from RefSeq and is a predicted model, not a curated record. The transcript is spliced from 3 exons.
GCAAACGCCCCCCGGUUACCUGUCGGGCCGGGGUUGGAAUAUCCUCGGACACCCCGAUCCUCCCGGGCGGCGCACGGGUGCCGCGGGGCCAAGCCGGGCGGAGCGCGCUGCGCCUCACGAGCGGCAGCAUCCAAGCCGGCGCCUGCCGAGCCGGGCACUAACGGAAGGAGGAGCGGGAGGUUACGGCGGGGAGCUGGGAGAAACCAUUCCCCACGAGGGGAUACUGCUGGUGGCCGGCCAGGCGGGGCGAGAAGGACUGCCCUCCCACGCAGGGCUGCUUUCUAGAAGAACAUGAACCAUGAGAGAUCCAACAACCCCAGGGACCAGCCCCACAGUACUCAAGCAAGGAAUUUCAAGUUCUAGAAAAGAUAAACAAUGUAGGGAUAAACUCAAAAGGACAACCAAGAAUACCCCAGGUAAUAUUUUCUAUUGUCUAUUCACUCUUGUCCUAUAAUUUUUCUGAGAUUGAAGAUUUGUCUUCAUUGUGUAGCAUUCAGCAUCAGGAACUAUUAAAAGAGAGUAUAAAAUAAACAUGUGGAGUGAGUACUUGUAGAAUAGCACACUAUGCAAUGAUUUCACUAAGUUUAUAUGGAUUUCCAUACAAAAAACCCAAAACAACCAAACAAACAACUCAUGCCUUGAAAGCUGUUUUAUCCCUCUUUAAUGAGUAGGAUGCAAAUGCAGAAAGGAUAGCCUGAUAACA